Molecule: ribosomal RNA, 800 nt
Filed under: uncultured bacterium
Lineage: Bacteria
Description: bacterial SSU rRNA
Rfam family: Bacterial small subunit ribosomal RNA
Source: RNAcentral
AGAGUUUGAUCAUGGCUCAGGAUAAACGCUGGCGGCGCGCAUAAGACAUGCAAGUCGAACGAACUUAACUCAUUCUUUUAGUUUGAGAGCGGUUAGUGGCGGACUGGUGAGUAAUGCGUAAGCAACCUGCCUAUUAGAGGGGAAUAACAGUGAGAAAUCAUUGCUAAUACCGCAUAUGCUAACAAUAUCGCAUGAUAUGGUUAGGAAAGGAGUAAUCCGCUAAUAGAUGGGCUUACGUCUGAUUAGCUAGUUGGUGGGGUAACGGCCUACCAAGGCGACGAUCAGUAGCCGGACUGAGAGGUUGAACGGCCACAUUGGGACUGAGAUACGGCCCAGACUCCUACGGGAGGCAGCAGUCGGGAAUAUUGCGCAAUGGAGGAAACUCUGACGCAGUGACGCCGCGUAUAGGAAGAAGGUUUUCGGAUUGUAAACUAUUGUCGUUAGGGAAGAUACAAGACAGUACCUAAGGAGGAAGCCCCGGCUAACUAUGUGCCAGCAGCCGCGGUAAUACAUAGGGGGCAAGCGUUAUCCGGAAUUAUUGGGUGUAAAGGGUGCGUAGACGGAGGAGCAAGUUGGUUGUGAAAUCCCUCGGCUUAACUGAGGAACUGCAACCAAAACUACUUCCCUUGAGUGUCGGAGAGGAAAGUGGAAUUCCUAGUGUAGCGGUGAAAUGCGUAGAUAUUAGGAGGAACACCAGUGGCGAACGCGACUUUCUGGACGAUAACUGACGUUGAGGCACGAAAGUGUGGGGAGCAAACAGGAUUAGAUACCCUGGUAGUCCACACCGUAACGAUGGAUAC